GAUCGACCUGCGAACGGAACGGAACUGUCAGUGCUAACAAGAGCCUCUUCGUUUCGUUGUGCUGUUUUUGGUGCUGAGUGUUUGUAAAAAGUUACUAGCUUUUGGUUUUGUUUUGGUGCUUGUGUACAAUAGAAUUACAGAGGCAUGGCCCGGGGGCAGCGGCGGUAUUCCCGAAAAAAUAGGAAAGCUGAAAUUUAGAAGAAAAAAAAUAUUAAAUAAAGAUAUAAGAAGAGAUGUAAGAAGGCAAGCUGACAAUGGGAUGGUAUGUCUGCAAAGCCAAUCAUAAAGAACCAAAUAAACUGCUUAUGGGCUUAUGGUUAUAUUAAACCGAUUGCAUGUAUCUAUAUACUCUAAGCAUGUAUCAUAUUUGUUUUCUCAGCCUCACACUUUAACUCAGGUUCGCUGAAGCAUCGGCAAGCUGAAUGUGAGAUGGUAUGUUGAUGUCCUGUACAUUGACACGGAAAUGAGGCAUUGAAGAUGUUAUGUUGGGGACAAUGCAUGAUAGAACAGUGAGUUUAUAAUCACUGUUGGCUGACUGGAUAGCAAAUCCAAAGUUUGAAAUGUGAUGAAUUGAUGAUUAGAGAUGAGAAAGCGUUUAAACUGAAUAAUGGUUAAUUGAUAAAGGAUAAUAUGAAAUAUUAUAAUCAUUAUAUCAAGAUUUAUAGUCAUCAACAAAAACUAGGAAAUACCUGGAUCCUCCAAUCUCCAUUGGCCCACAGACAUCGGCAUGUUUAUUACAUCCAGGGGUCCACUGCUCCUUGCACCGUUGUGACCAAAUGGCAGACGAGACUGCUUUCCUUCACAGAAUACAGGCAUAAUAAUAAGGCAUUAGUUUUCUUCACUUCCUGCCAACUGAUGAUCUGCUUCGCCGCCAUCUUGCCGCUAUGAUGGCAUUUUUAUGGCAAUCUGUCGGGUGUGCCAACAAUUUCUGCCAGUAUCAUGUAAUGACAUUGCAUGUGUAUUUAUUUAUAUUGUAAAUAUUGAUACCCCUGUUCUUGAAAACUUUACAAAAUGUUAUAUUUAAGCUGUGAAUUUUAUUCUUAGCAGUGCUGCAAACCUUAUAUUGUUGACUGUGCUACUCUCUGCUCAAAAAAGCACUUCCUAGCUCGGUACUAUUGUAGUUUACUGCAAGAUCUAUCAACUUUGUCUUCACUACGUCAUAAUGUACUCUGUAACUACGUCACCCGUAAUGGUGAUUCCCGAAUUUUCUAUUACCAUUAUCAUAGGGAAGUAUUUUUUGGCAAACCCGCUAGUAUUAGGCAUCCAAUCCACUCGUCAUCCACUUUAAAACCUGUUCCAGACAAUUUCUACGCCGCGCCGUUUCCAUUAUUAGAUUAGCGUCACAUAACUAAUUCAUAAUUAAUAAAUAAGGUUGUCUGGUAGAGAUUGCUAUAAGCAAUAAGGCCGCCUUUUUAAUCUGUUUUUAUUUUUUAGUUUAAUUUUGUAUGUUGAUCUAUUUUGGUGCAAAUAAAGAGUAUUGUAUUGUAUUGUAUUGUAUAAUUCGUCAUUGACUCGCUGGUGUCCAGACGAAUUGAUUUCAGGUUUCGCAAUAAAGUUAUUCUUCGAGAGAAUCCGGAAUCGUC
Plutella xylostella (diamondback moth) is the source of this 1583-nucleotide non-coding RNA. NCBI's taxonomy places the organism in Eukaryota, Metazoa, Arthropoda, Insecta, Lepidoptera, Plutellidae. The record is from RefSeq and is a predicted model, not a curated record.